CCUACGGGCGGCAGCAGUGAGGAAUAUUGGUCAAUGGACGCGAGCCUGAACCAGCCAAGUAGCGUGAAGGAUGACUGCCCUACGGGUUGUAAACUUCUUUUAUACAGGAAUAAAGUGAGGCACGUGUGCCUUUUUGUAUGUACUUUAUGAAUAAGGAUCGGCUAACUCCGUGCCAGCAGCCGCGGUAAUACGGAGGAUCCGAGCGUUAUCCGGAUUUAUUGGGUUUAAAGGGAGCGUAGGUGGGUUGUUAAGUCAGUUGUGAAAGUUUGCGGCUCAACCGUAAAAUUGCAGUUGAAACUGGCAGCCUUGAGUACAGUAGAGGUAGGCGGAAUUCGUGGUGUAGCGGUGAAAUGCUUAGAUAUCACGAAGAACUCCGAUUGCGAAGGCAGCUUACUAAACUGCCACUGACAUUGAUGCUCGAAAGUGUGGGUAUCAAACAGGAUUAGAUACCCGAGUAGUC
RNAcentral lists this ribosomal RNA (460 nucleotides) under uncultured bacterium. RNAcentral describes it as "partial 16S ribosomal RNA". It matches the Rfam family "Bacterial small subunit ribosomal RNA", at positions 338 to 795 of the family's 1533-position model. The record is from RNAcentral.